AAAACCCAAAGGCGUAAUGAAAGUAAAUAGUGAAAUCAAUUUAUUGUUAUCACUAUAAGGGAAGAUGGAAAUCUUGUUAACCUUAUAAUUGUAGCAUUUAUGUUAUAUAUUAUUUGUAACAAUUUCCCGCACUCCCGGGGCGCUUGUUUCUCGCGUUGCGAGUCACUGCGCACCUAGAGCGUACACGAUGAUACCCGAAAGAUGGUGAACUAUGCCUGGCCAGGACGAAGCCAGGGGAAACCCUGGUGGAGGUCCGCAGCGAUUCUGACGUGCAAAUCGAUCGUCGGAGCUGGGUAUAGGGGCGAAAGACCAAUCGAACCAUCUAGUAGCUGGUUCCCUCUGAAGUUUCCCUCAGGAUAGCUUGCGCUCGUUCGGAGUCUCAUCCGGUAGAGCGAAUGAUUAGAGGCAUUGGGGUCGAAACGACCUCAACCUAUUCUCAAACUCCAAAUAGAUGAGAACCCCGGCUUUCUUAAAAGUGAAGCCGUGGGAUUCGGAUCAGAGUGCCAAGUGGGCCAAU
This 517-nucleotide ribosomal RNA is filed under the name Panamia sp. RNAcentral's name for it is "partial large subunit ribosomal RNA". It matches the Rfam family "Eukaryotic large subunit ribosomal RNA", at positions 703 to 1135 of the family's 3401-position model. The record is from RNAcentral. Lineage: Eukaryota; Metazoa; Arthropoda; Insecta; Hemiptera; Reduviidae.